CUUGGUAUUGAUUUUGAGCAAGACAAUGGAUGUGUGAAAAUGUCACAAAAGAGGUAUGUGGAAAAAAAUCCUGGAAAUAUUUGAUAUGCAACACUGUAAGCCAAGAAUGACACCCUGUGAACAAAAGUUGAGCUACACUGGUGAUGCAGAAAUGAUGCAGGAUGUCAGGAAAUACAGAGAGGCUGUAGGCAGCCUUAUCUACCUCACUACAUGUACAAGACCUGAUCUCAGUUUUAUUGUUAGUAAACUGUCUCAGUACUUUACUAAGCCAACAGAACAAAUGGUGGCAGCUGUAAUGACAAAGCCUGCGAUUAAAUUUGAUUAAAGUUGAUUAAAUUUGCCUCAUUUAUGUUUGGAGAUUAAAGGUACACAGAAGAUUGUACUUGAUGUGAACAGAAGUUAAUUUUUCUUUUUGAUGAUGGUAACGAUAUGAGAGCAAGUGGGGGUGUUGACAUGAAUGUAAAUAUGCUCUCAUUUGUAGACUUUGUAUAAAUAUAUGUAAAUGACUUUUUGGGUGUUGACCAAAGGGUGGCAGUCGUGAGCUAAGAUUGUUAAUAAAGUUUCUUUUUUUUUUUUUUUUUGUAUUGCCUGAGACUGAACGCUUCCCGUGUGUGUUUCAUUCCUCCAGGAUUAUAUAUAUAUAUAUAUAUAUUCGGUCUUGUAUUAUUAUUUUACACGCCAGAACUGCUGUAGCAUUAGUUUCUGCUAACACGCUUCUUUUUAAGAAUGCGAAUCUGUCUGGAAUUGAAAGGAGGUGCCAAAAAGAGAAACUCACCAGUCCGUGAAAAAGACCGAAGCACCAGCUGGAUGCAGCACGACUUUUGACAAGAAAAAGACGGACACACCUGGCCUAGACGGCACGACCUUGGACAUGAUUGCAUGUGGGGAGCCCAAGGAUUAUACAAAAGAAGAGCUUUCAGCAACUUUGAAAGUUCUUAUCGAUAAAAAGAAAGAUGCUUUAAAACCAGAUGUUAAAGAUUUAAUUUGUGACAUUGAAAGGCUUACUGAGAGAAUGCCUGCCUUAGAGGUGUGUUUCUUUUUUUCGGACAGAAGGGCGAAUUUAACAACCCUAACAGCUAUUUCACGUGUAACUAGAUGUAUCUACAGAUCAAUAGGGAAUACCAUUCCUGUAAUGACACGUGAUGAACUGAGACUCAGCAACUAGAACAAGGAAAACCAGAUCCCUGCCAGCGUGACACGUAAUACAACCUAUAGAAGGUCUUCUCCUUAUUUUAUAUCUGCUAGAAAAAGAUUCAUUAUGACCACAAUUGGUCGCUCAGUCGUCUGGGCUUAUGUGUUUAGCUCUGUUGAACAUUUAGGG
This is a long non-coding RNA of Polypterus senegalus (gray bichir), 1321 nucleotides long. RefSeq lists it as uncharacterized. The record is from RefSeq and is a predicted model, not a curated record. The transcript is spliced from 4 exons. NCBI's taxonomy places the organism in Eukaryota, Metazoa, Chordata, Cladistia, Polypteriformes, Polypteridae.